Molecule: ribosomal RNA, 765 nt
Filed under: Myroides sp. JSM 111052
Lineage: Bacteria; Pseudomonadati; Bacteroidota; Flavobacteriia; Flavobacteriales; Flavobacteriaceae
Description: bacterial SSU rRNA
Rfam family: Bacterial small subunit ribosomal RNA
Source: RNAcentral
UACUGUCUGACUUGAAUAGUAUGGAAGUAACUAGAAUAUGUAGUGUAGCGGUGAAAUGCUUAGAUAUUACAUGGAAUACCAAUUGCGAAGGCAGGUUACUACGUACUUAUUGACGCUGAUGAACGAAAGCGUGGGUAGCGAACAGGAUUAGAUACCCUGGUAGUCCACGCCGUAAACGAUGGAUACUAGCUGUUCGGACUUCGGUUUGAGUGGCUAAGCGAAAGUGAUAAGUAUCCCACCUGGGGAGUACGUUCGCAAGAAUGAAACUCAAAGGAAUUGACGGGGGCCCGCACAAGCGGUGGAGCAUGUGGUUUAAUUCGAUGAUACGCGAGGAACCUUACCAGGGCUUAAAUGUAGAUUGACAGGUUUGGAAACAGACUUUUCUUCGGACAAUUUACAAGGUGCUGCAUGGUUGUCGUCAGCUCGUGCCGUGAGGUGUCAGGUUAAGUCCUAUAACGAGCGCAACCCCUAUUGUUAGUUACCAGCGCGUUAAGGCGGGGACUCUAGCAAGACUGCCGGUGCAAACCGUGAGGAAGGUGGGGAUGACGUCAAAUCAUCACGGCCCUUACGUCCUGGGCUACACACGUGCUACAAUGGCAAGUACAGAAAGCAGCUACCUGGCAACAGGAUGCGAAUCUCCAAAGCUUGUCUCAGUUCGGAUUGGAGUCUGCAACUCGACUCUAUGAAGCUGGAAUCGCUAGUAAUCGGAUAUCAGCCAUGAUCCGGUGAAUACGUUCCCGGGCCUUGUACACACCGCCCGUCAAG